AGGUUACUGCUAUCGAGGUUCGACUAAGCCAUGCGAGUCGAAUGUAGCAAUACAUGGCGUACUGCUCAGUAACACGUGGACAACCUACCCUCCGGACGGGUAUAAACCCGGGAAACUGGGUAUAAUCCCCGAUAGAUCUCGGUCGCUGGAAAGCCCCGAGAUCGAAAGCUCCGGCGCCAGAGGAUGGGUCUGCGGCCUAUCAGGUAGUAGUGGGUGUAGCGUACCUACUAGCCUACGACGGGUACGGGUUGUGAGAGCAAGAGCCCGGAGAUGGAUUCUGAGACACGAAUCCAGGCCCUACGGGGUGCAGCAGGCGCGAAAACUUUACAAUGCCGGCAACGGCGAUAAGGGGACCUCGAGUGCCAGGUUACAAAUCUGGCUGUCGUGAUGCCUAAAAAGCAUUGCAUAGCAAGGGCCGGGCAAGACCGGUGCCAGCCGCCGCGGUAACACCGGCGGCUCGAGUGGUAACCGUUAUUAUUGGGUCUAAAGGGUCUGUAGCCGGCCGGAUAAGUCUCUUGAGAAAUCCAGCAGCUCAACUGUUGGGCUUUCAGGAGAUACUGUCUGGCUCGAGGCCGGGAGAGGUGAGAGGUACUUCAGGGGUAGGGGUGAAAUCUUGUAAUCCUUGAAGGACCACCAGUGGCGAAGGCGUCUCACCAGAACGGACCUGACGGCAAGGGACGAAAGCUAGGGGCACGAACCGGAUUAGAUACCCGGGUAGUCCUAGCCGUAAACGAUACUCGCUAGGUGUCGGCCACGGUGCGACCGUUGUCGGUGCCGUAGGGAAGCCGUGAAGCGAGCCACCUGGGAAGUACGGCCGCAAGGCUGAAAC
RNAcentral lists this ribosomal RNA (829 nucleotides) under uncultured archaeon. RNAcentral describes it as "bacterial SSU rRNA". It matches the Rfam family "Archaeal small subunit ribosomal RNA", at positions 21 to 855 of the family's 1478-position model. The record is from RNAcentral.